CGGACCUCAGAUCAGGCAAGACUACCCGCUGAGUUUAAGCAUAUCACUAAGCGGAGGAAAAGAAACUAACAAGGAUUCCCU
Molecule: ribosomal RNA, 81 nt
Filed under: Drepanolejeunea vesiculosa
Lineage: Eukaryota; Viridiplantae; Streptophyta; Jungermanniopsida; Porellales; Lejeuneaceae
Description: partial 26S ribosomal RNA
Rfam family: Eukaryotic large subunit ribosomal RNA
Source: RNAcentral